GCAGGCGGUUUCUUAAGUCUGAUGUGAAAGCCCCCGGCUCAACCGGGGAGGGUCAUUGGAAACUGGGAGACUUGAGUGCAGAAGAGGAGAGUGGAAUUCCAUGUGUAGCGGUGAAAUGCGUAGAUAUAUGGAGGAACACCAGUGGCGAAGGCGGCUCUCUGGUCUGUAACUGACGCUGAGGCUCGAAAGCGUGGGGAGCGAACAGGAUUAGAUACCCUGGUAGUCCACGCCGUAAACGAUGAGUGCUAAGUGUUGGAGGGUUUCCGCCCUUCAGUGCUGCAGCAAACGCAUUAAGCACUCCGCCUGGGGAGUACGACCGCAAGGUUGAAACUCAAAGGAAUUGACGGGGGCCCGCACAAGCGGUGGAGCAUGUGGUUUAAUUCGAAGCAACGCGAAGAACCUUACCAGGUCUUGACAUCCUUUGACCACUCUAGAGAUAGAGCUUCCCCUUCGGGGGCAAAGUGACAGGUGGUGCAUGGUUGUCGUCAGCUCGUGUCGUGAGAUGUUGGGUUAAGUCCCGCAACGAGCGCAACCCUUAUUGUUAGUUGCCAUCAUUUAGUUGGGCACUCUAGCGAGACUGCCGGUGACAAACCGGAGGAAGGUGGGGAUGACGUCAAAUCAUCAUGCCCCUUAUGACCUGGGCUACACACGUGCUACAAUGGGAAGUACAACGAGUUGCGAAGUCGCGAGGCUAAGCUAAUCUCUUAAAGCUUCUCUCAGUUCGGAUUGUAGGCUGCAACUCGCCUACAUGAAGCCGGAAU
This 761-nucleotide ribosomal RNA is filed under the name Enterococcus casseliflavus. RNAcentral describes it as "bacterial SSU rRNA". It matches the Rfam family "Bacterial small subunit ribosomal RNA", at positions 571 to 1332 of the family's 1533-position model. The record is from RNAcentral. Lineage: Bacteria; Bacillati; Bacillota; Bacilli; Lactobacillales; Enterococcaceae.